GUGCUUGCUUCAGCAGCACAUAUACUAAAAUUAGAAUGACACAGAGAUUAGCAUGGCCCCUGCACAAGGAUGACAUGCAAAUUCAUGAAGCACUCUAUAUUUUC
This is a small nuclear RNA of Sapajus apella (tufted capuchin), 104 nucleotides long. The record is from RefSeq and is a predicted model, not a curated record. Lineage: Eukaryota; Metazoa; Chordata; Mammalia; Primates; Cebidae.